CCUACGGGAGGCAGCAGUGAGGAAUAUUGGUCAAUGGGCGCGAGCCUGAACCAGCCAAGUAGCGUGAAGGAUGACUGCCCUACGGGUUGUAACCUUCUUUUAUAAAGGACUAAAGUGAGGCACGUGUGCCUUUUUGUCUGUACUUUAUGAAUAAGGCUCGGGUAACUCCGUGCCAGCAGCCGCGGUAAUACGGAGGAACCGAGCGUUAUCCGGAGUUAUUGGGUUUAAAUGGAGCGUAGAUGGGUUGUUAAGUCAGUUGUGAAAGUUUGCGGCUCAACCGUAAAAUUGCAAUUGAUACUGGCAGUCUUGAGUACAGGUGAGGUAGGCGGAAUUCGUGGUGUAGCGGUGAAAUGCGUAGAUAUCACGAAGAACUCCGAUUGCGAAGGCAGCUUACUAAACUGCCACUGACAUUGAUGCUCGAAAGUGUGGGUAUCAAACAGGAUUAGAUACCCCAGUAGUC
Molecule: ribosomal RNA, 460 nt
Filed under: uncultured bacterium
Lineage: Bacteria
Description: partial 16S ribosomal RNA
Rfam family: Bacterial small subunit ribosomal RNA
Source: RNAcentral